UACGUAUGGGGCAAGCGUUAUCCGGAUUCAUUGGGCGUAAAGAGCGCGUAGGCGGCUUGUUAAGUUAGAUGUGAAAUCCGGGGGCUUAACCCGCGGCUUGCAUCUAAAACUGGCAGGCUUGAGUCUGGUAGAGGAAAGUGGAAUUCCCAGUGUAGCGGUGAAAUGCGCAGAUAUUGGGAGGAACACCAGUGGCGAAGGCGGCUUUCUGGGCCACGACUGACGCUGAGGCGCGAAAGCUAGGGGAGCAAACAGG
RNAcentral lists this ribosomal RNA (253 nucleotides) under uncultured bacterium. RNAcentral's name for it is "partial 16S ribosomal RNA". It matches the Rfam family "Bacterial small subunit ribosomal RNA", at positions 524 to 776 of the family's 1533-position model. The record is from RNAcentral.